AUUUUUAUUGCUCAUAUGCUUAACUAGGUACGUCUAAUGAGGAAGUUGCUUUGUGGAAAGAGGGAGUUUGGCUGGGAGGCGUGGUUAUGCUGGAGAAAGCUGAUAAGAAAAAACUACCAAUAUGAAACAAAAACAAACGCACAAGUUGACUCUGAUAGGGCCUAAACUCAGGACAUGCAAUGGUGGAAGCCUCUCAGACCCGGCUCUCCACGAGGUUUAGCCACAAAAAGCAGAUUAGAGCAGAUUUGAACAAGUUUUGCAUAGAACGGUCCAGGUUCAUAUUUAGAAACGUUCUACGUCUGAUCCUCAAGAGUAGCCUUUGCUCAGUCUCCAUUUCUCAUGGAGGGAUUUUCAGGAUAUUUCAGAGAAUUUCUGGGUACACACGAACAAUAGAAGUAACAUCCCUUUACACCCUGUUCUAAAUUAUGCAAAUUAUAUUUUUCUCAUUUACCUAAAUA
Non-coding RNA from Pelobates cultripes (western spadefoot toad), 458 nucleotides. Lineage: Eukaryota; Metazoa; Chordata; Amphibia; Anura; Pelobatidae. The record is from the annotation of a GenBank genome assembly.